AAACUUUCAACAACGGAUCUCUUGGUUCCGGCAUCGAUGAAGAACGCAACGGAAAUGCGAUAACUAAUGUGAAUUGCAGAAUUCAGUGAAUCAUCGAGUCUUUGAACGCACAUUGCGCCCCCUGGUAUUCCGGGGGGCAUGCCUGUCCGAGCGUCAUU
Molecule: ribosomal RNA, 158 nt
Filed under: Aspergillus penicillioides
Lineage: Eukaryota; Fungi; Ascomycota; Eurotiomycetes; Eurotiales; Aspergillaceae
Description: 5.8S rRNA
Rfam family: 5.8S ribosomal RNA
About the family: 5.8S ribosomal RNA (5.8S rRNA) is a component of the large subunit of the eukaryotic ribosome. It is transcribed by RNA polymerase I as part of the 45S precursor that also contains 18S and 28S rRNA. Functionally, it is thought that 5.8S rRNA may be involved in ribosome translocation.
Source: RNAcentral